AUUGUAUGUUUUCAGCUCCGCUGGUAAAAACCCACAAAAAAAUAUAAAAAUGUGUAGAAUGCAAUAUAAUUUACCUGACACGAAUACUGCAUUACUGUUGUGAUCCUUUACUGUUGUUUAUACAUUGACACAAAAUACACAAUCCUGUAAUAUUUUUUGAGGACAAAGUUAAUUUGCCAUGAGCCUUUUUGUGGAAGACAUUUUUGCAGGUAUUUGAAGAAAAUGCACAGGUGCCACUGAUAGAAUGACCGAUAGCUGAAUUCCUUUAUUGCAUGCCGCCUCACUGUCACACCGAUUGCUUUACUGGGGCACAUGAAGAGAACAAAGUCAAUGUUUAUGUUAUUUGUAACAAUUGUGCUUUUCCUGCUCUAGGACGAGUCGGUUGUGAAGAAGACCUCAAAGGCGUUUCUCAUUUACAUUCAUGAGGCUGACAGAACAACAACAUCCUAUAAUGCAGUCUAAUACAGCACCGCCAGAGACUAAAUACUCGGAACAUUACAUUCUUUGCAGAAACAAGGUUUAUUGCAUUAGAUUGUACAUAUUUGUCUAAUCUAACUGUGAAUAUAUGCGGUUAUAUGUGCUGUUGUCUGAAAGCACAGACCAGCAGACACAAUUAUCCAAUAUCUUGCUGCUACAACCAGCAAGGUAAUGAAAUCUGCUCGACAAGGUUCACAAAUCACCACUGCCUCUUUGAGGGAAGAAGUCGGAUUUUCUGGGGGAUUUUAACAUAAUUUAGAUUUGUGGGUGUUUAUAGGAGGGUAAUCAGUGACAUGUGCCUGACCGGGGCCCCGUAAACCCCAUUCCUCCAACCCAGAGCACAGAGGUGUAUGAGUUGUGGCUCUCGGUGUCUUUUCCUUGUGUUUAAAGCGCAAACAUCAAUGCAGCUUAUUUUACAGAUCAAAUCCUCUCUAUCUGUUGCACUUAUAAAUAAUCUAACUACAUACUGGUAUACUUGUGUGAAAUAUCUACCACAGUAAUCCGCUCUUAGAUUAUAAAGCAAUGUAGCAGGCCAUAAACCCAAUUCAACUUUAGUGUUGGUCAAUGUUUAGAGAGAGUUGGGGUUUCAUUUUUGUGUUAUGAUUAUGCAACUUUUUAGAUAUUUGGAGGACUACAUUGCUGGUAGAUUUGAUAAAAAAACCCAGAUAAACUAGUGGUUAAAAAUACAAUUUUAAAUAAGAAAUACAUGUAAAUAUAUCUCUAUGACGCCCCACAUAAGAAAUGCAAAUAUAUUGAAUGAAAGCCAACAGCCUCACUUCUCCAGAGGCAGCAAUUAUAAGAUAAUUCCAUAUUCAAAAGUCUGGACCAAAGUGAUCUUGGGCCCCGGCACCAAAAUCCACUGAGGUUUUAAUAAUUUAUACUAAGAAAAAAAUAAGCUGAAAGCCACAUUUUGACUAAUUUCAUCUCUCAGUGUAAAUUCACCCACUGACAGAAUGUCCACUGAAGGAAUAGUUUGGUAGGCUCAGUAUAAAUCAUACAAUAAAUCAGAGAUGACUUUCAAUCCUAGAUGUUUGAGUUUAGAUAUUGAAAUUGUUGCCGCCGUAUUUUCCUCGCAGCCGUUGUCUUCCACUCAGCAAUGCGUGUUGAUACCAAACAACACAACAUUAGAAUAAAGGAGAUCCAACGCAGGGUCAUCCACCAACUGGUUCAAACGAACAAUAUGAGGAUUAAAAAUGAUUUACUUUUGUUCGUGGCACAUACCCUUCAUAUCAUUAUUAAUGUGGUGUUUCAUCAAUAUUACGAUGAAUGGUAAUUGUAAAC
Long non-coding RNA from Gasterosteus aculeatus aculeatus (three-spined stickleback), 1758 nucleotides. The record is from Ensembl. NCBI's taxonomy places the organism in Eukaryota, Metazoa, Chordata, Actinopteri, Perciformes, Gasterosteidae.